GAUGAAGAACGUAGCGAAAUGCGAUAAGUAAUGCGAAUUGCAGAAUUCGGUGAGUCAUCGAAUCUUUGAACGCACAUUGCGCCCUGUGGUAUUCCGCAGGGCAUGCCUGUUCGAGCGUCAUUUCAACCCUCAAGCUCUGCUUGGUGUUGGGCCACGCCCUCGCGGCCGGCCCCAAAGCCAGUGGCGGCGCCGUCCGGCUCUAAGCGUAGUACAUCUCUCGCUCUAGGGCCCGGCGGCUGCCUGCCAGAACCCCAAACUCUUAUGGUUGACCUCGGAUCAGGUAGGGAUACCCGCUGAACGUAAGCAUAUCAAUAAGCGGAGGA
This 323-nucleotide unclassified non-coding RNA is filed under the name soil metagenome. RNAcentral describes it as "partial contains 5.8S ribosomal RNA, internal transcribed spacer 2, and large subunit ribosomal RNA". The stretch from base 1 to 120 matches the Rfam family "5.8S ribosomal RNA", at positions 35 to 154 of the family's 154-position model. The record is from RNAcentral.